RNAcentral lists this ribosomal RNA (715 nucleotides) under Lactiplantibacillus plantarum. RNAcentral describes it as "bacterial SSU rRNA". It matches the Rfam family "Bacterial small subunit ribosomal RNA", at positions 396 to 1102 of the family's 1533-position model. Lineage: Bacteria; Bacillati; Bacillota; Bacilli; Lactobacillales; Lactobacillaceae. The record is from RNAcentral.
GCCGCGUGAGUGAAGAAGGGUUUCGGCUCGUAAAACUCUGUUGUUAAAGAAGAACAUAUCUGAGAGUAACUGUUCAGGUAUUGACGGUAUUUAACCAGAAAGCCACGGCUAACUACGUGCCAGCAGCCGCGGUAAUACGUAGGUGGCAAGCGUUGUCCGGAUUUAUUGGGCGUAAAGCGAGCGCAGGCGGUUUUUUAAGUCUGAUGUGAAACCCUUCGGCUCAACCGAAGAAGUGCAUCGGAAACUGGGAAACUUGAGUGCAGAAGAGGACAGUGGAACUCCAUGUGUAGCGGUGAAAUGCGUAGAUAUAUGGAAGAACACCAGUGGCGAAGGCGGCUGUCUGGUCUGUAACUGACGCUGAGGCUCGAAAGUAUGGGUAGCAAACAGGAUUAGAUACCCUGGUAGUCCAUACCGUAAACGAUGAAUGCUAAGUGUUGGAGGGUUUCCGCCCUUCAGUGCUGCAGCUAACGCAUUAAGCAUUCCGCCUGGGGAGUACGGCCGCAAGGCUGAAACUCAAAGGAAUUGACGGGGGCCCGCACAAGCGGUGGAGCAUGUGGUUUAAUUCGAAGCUACGCGAAGAACCUUACCAGGUCUUGACAUACUAUGCAAAUCUAAGAGAUUAGACGUUCCCUUCGGGGACAUGGAUACAGGUGGUGCAUGGUUGUCGUCAGCUCGUGUCGUGAGAUGUUGGGUUAAAUCCCACAACGAGCGCAAC